This 284-nucleotide long non-coding RNA is filed under the name Malus domestica (apple). RNAcentral describes it as "long non-coding RNA (MDOM_LNC015661)". Lineage: Eukaryota; Viridiplantae; Streptophyta; Magnoliopsida; Rosales; Rosaceae. The record is from RNAcentral.
AAAUUCAAGCAAUAAUUAGGGCCGAAUUCUAUGUUUUGGACCCUUUCUUCAACAAGCAACACUUUAAAACUCUUUUUCGCAUAUUUUUCAACUCUUUUUUUUUUUUUUUCAUUCUAUUUUUCACGAAUCUUUCUUUUCUACUCGUGCCUUAUGAAUGAUUUUGGCAUACACACACACAAGAAUCACUUCCCCCACACUUGUUUUCUGCCAUACAUUAAUCAAAAGGAAUUCAAUUUGACUCAUACUUUACUAUGCUUCAAGAACAUGGGUAUGGAUGGUCCUAA